ACUAGGGCUUAUUCAAACAAACACCAGACUACGUAAACUCUAACUGAAAAACCUCGACUCCAAGCAACAAACUCCUUCAGGCAGAGUAGAGAAAGGAAAAGAUGAAUGAAAAUAAUGAAGAGGAAGAGCCUUUGGGAUUUUGAUCCAAUCUGAUCAAAAUUUCAAGUUGUGCGACAGAGGUCAGCUCCGGAGUUUCCAAGAGAAAGGAUGAGUAUUUCAAAGCUUAUUACGCUGCUUUAAUACAAAGAGUCUUCAGGUUGGCAUGACGUCAAACUUCGAAGAUGAAGGACACGAUAAUGUUGACUGGGAAGAGGCUCCAGUUGCAGAUGCAUGAGAGCUUUCCAACUAUUGAAGAAAGAACAUACAAUUCUAAAAAAGAGGCUCAAGGCUUAUUUGCAAGUGAUGAUCAAUGCCGCUCAACUUUAGUUUUUUAUUUUGGUGUAUAUAUUGAAAGUUAAUUGUACUAUAUGAAAGUUCAGAGUCGAUCAAUAAAAUAGAGGCAGAGCAUGAACCUGAGCUUCAGAGGGGCUAAACAUGAAUACUUCUACUUUGGAUGGAAGAUUAACUUAUCUUGAUGAGAACAUGAGUUGUAGGACUGCUACAUGUUUUCUACAACGUACUGUAUGUGCUUGAUGGAGAUAGCAAGGCAAGCUGGGCCAACUGAGACUGGAAGUUGUCCUAAGUGAGAGGAAACUAAUCAACAUGCAAAAGGUUGCGAAGAAGUUAUGUGGCAGAAUGUGUAGUUGGUGGAUUUUGUACUACAUAUAUGUAUUCCUACCUAGCUUUGAAUUAAGGAAUGUUUAGAGGACCUGGGUGCUUUUGGAUACCAAUAUCCAGUUUUCCAUGUAAGCUUCUUUGGUUUCUUUCGCUCAGAUGGCAAGGCAAACUACAAUGAAAUCAGUGCUUGAAAUCAUUAUAGACCAUAAACUAGGUAUACUAUUAUACUCUAUCAAUAAGGUCAGUGCUUGCAAAUCACUGUUAUGUAACUAUUUGUACAACAAAUGUAUAAAGCUUAGCAAGCAAACUCACCCGCGGCA
Rosa rugosa (rugosa rose) is the source of this 1037-nucleotide long non-coding RNA. RefSeq lists it as uncharacterized. The record is from RefSeq and is a predicted model, not a curated record. Lineage: Eukaryota; Viridiplantae; Streptophyta; Magnoliopsida; Rosales; Rosaceae. The transcript has 4 exons.